CAAUAGCGUAUAUUAAAGUUGUUGCAGUUAGAACGCUCGUAGUCGGAUUUCGGGGCGGGCCGACCGGUCUGCCGAUGGGUAUGCACUGGUCGGCGCGUCCUUCCUUCCGGAGACCGUCCCUACUCUUAACUGAGCGGGGGCGGGAGACGGGACUUUUACUUUGAAAAAUCAGAGUGUUUCAAGCAGGCAGCUCGCUCUUGCAUGGAUUAGCAUGGGAUAAUGAAAUAGGACUUUGGUGCUAUUUUGUUGGUUUCGAACACCGAAGUAAUGAUGAGAAGGGACAGUCAGGGGCACUCGUAUUCCGCCGAGAGAGGUGAAAUUCUCAGACCAGCGGAAGACGAACCACUGCGAAAGCAUUUGCCAGGGAUGUUUUCACUGA
This 379-nucleotide ribosomal RNA is filed under the name uncultured eukaryote. RNAcentral describes it as "partial 18S ribosomal RNA". It matches the Rfam family "Eukaryotic small subunit ribosomal RNA", at positions 592 to 976 of the family's 1831-position model. The record is from RNAcentral.